Molecule: RNA transcript, 4930 nt
Organism: Pogoniulus pusillus (Red-fronted tinkerbird)
Lineage: Eukaryota; Metazoa; Chordata; Aves; Piciformes; Lybiidae
Gene: TP53I11
Gene name: tumor protein p53 inducible protein 11
Exons: 8
Source: RefSeq, a predicted model, not a curated record
CCGGUCGGUGCUUUCUCCAGCGCUUUUCACAGCCCUUCUGCUUCGGUUCCUCCAUGGGGCAGCCGCGCCGAAGCCUCGGGACUCCUCCGCGCCGCCACCGGGACCUGUGUUAGGGCGAUCCUGGCGACGGCAGGACCACCCUGAGAUGAGCCACCCCUAGGCAAGGUGGCCCCACUGCCAGGGCUCCCUGUCCCUCGACGAUGAGGACCCACCCGCUGGCCUAAGGAGAAGAUCCUGGUGGUGCUGGUGCUUGCUUUCUUCUUUCCCCCGGGGGGGGGAAAUUCCAUGUGAGGGCUCAGCUACUUCUUACCCCCUCCUUGUGCCCCCCGGCAGCCAAGGGCCGGGGGCUGGAGAGCCCCCAGCAUGGCGGCGAAGCAGCCCCCCCCGCUGAUGAAGAAGCACAGCCAGACCGACCUGGUGAGCAGGCUGAAGACGCGCAAGAUCCUGGGCGUCGGAGGGGAGGACGACGACGGAGAGGUCCAUCGCUCCAAGAUCAGCCAAGUGCUGGGAAAUGAGAUCAAGUUUGCUGUGCGGGAGCCACUGGGGCUGAGGGUCUGGCAGCUGGUGUCUGCUGUCAUGUUUUCCGGGGUGGCCAUCAUGGCCCUGGCUUUCCCUGACCAGCUCUACGAUGCCGUCUUUGACGAGGAACCGGUGAGCAGCAAGACCCCAAUCCGGCUCUACGGAGGAGCCCUCCUCAGUAUCUCCCUCAUCAUGUGGAAUGCCCUCUAUACAGCUGAGAAAGUCAUCAUCCGCUGGAGCCUGCUGACUGAAGCCUGCUACUUUGCUGUGCAGUUCCUGGUUACCACUGUCUCCCUGGUGGAGAGCAGCCGGAUAGCCACGGGUGCCGCCCUCCUCCUCGUCAGCCGAGCCCUCUUCAUCCUCAUCAGUGUUUAUUACUACUACCAAGUUGGCCGCCGUGCCAAGAAAGUCUAGUUCUGGGCUUUGUGUCAUGGGCAGGGUGGGGGGAGGGGUUUGUGUCGGUAAUUUUGAGUUCUCUUCAGUUGGGUUUUGUUUGCCUUGGGUUGUUUUGGGUUUGUUUGGGGUUUUUUUUGAGGGGGGUUAAUCCCUUUUGGUUCUCAAGUGGUUUCCUUCUUUUCCACUUACCGGCAUGAAUUGGUGUGGGACCAGAUGCUGGUGGCUCUGCCAGGUGAAAUGGGGAGGGGAACCUCCCCCACCCCACCCCGCUUCCUCUGCGGGAGGUGGUGAGGAGCAGUGGGAGGAAGGCUCAGGGAGGUCUGUGGGCCUGACAGGCUCAGGGAAAAGAGCUGGUUUCCCCCCAGCCACCCAGGGAUGGGGGGAACCAGCCUGGUGGGAUCACAGGCUCUGAACCCGCUGGAACAAAGCACAAAACAAGACCAGCACAUCGAAACCAAAUCCCUGAGGAAGACAGGGAAGCGAUGAAGCACUCGGCUAGUCCCUUUGGUCAGCCCUUCCCUGCCUGCUGGGGUGGCUCCUCGUGUACAGCCCCUUCCCUUCUGAGCCAGCACGGACUGUGUGGGGAGCUGGGAGCUGGACAGGCUUGGGUUCUGCUCUGCUUCCCUGGCUGCUGGAAGUGCCCCCUGUGCAAAGCUUGGCAGGAGCCAGAGCCGAAGAAGAGGAAACAGCUCACUGAGCAUAAAGAUGUUCCCUUGCUUCUAGGCUGGGGUUUUGUCCCCUUCACCCCAGCACACUUCCUACAGUUCACUGAUGGUCACAACAGUGGUGGGUGUGAGGUGGCAUCUGUGAGGGAAGCAGGAGCUGGGGUGCUGCAGUGGUUAGUAGGAGCAGAGUGAGCUUUGGUACAGCUGCUGGGGUCAGGGAGCAGCCUCCAGAGAUGAGGCCCAGGUGUGGAAGGUGGUGUUCCAGCUUUGCCCAUGUGCAGGCACCACGGCCCCUCCGACUUGGAGAAGAGAGCACCAAAGUUUGUAGCAUUAAGAGACUUAACCGGGAUGAAGAACAGCGAGGAGCAGGGUGUCUGAAGGCAGCGUUGCCUUCUGUAGCUCAGCCAAGGAUGGACUAAAUGUGCUUCAGCACUCACUGGCUGACCCCUCCCGAGCUUAACAGCACUGCCUCCCCUGCCUCCUCCUGCUUUUCUUGUGGAUUAUCCCUGUCCAUGGCUGGAGGCAGCACUUUUUCUUCUCUGUGGAACUGAAGCCAGAAGGUCUGCAUGCAGGAUAUGGACUUCUCCUCCAUGUGCUCCCAUUGACCAGCACAAAGCCUGCUCUGGAAUGGAGCUGAUGUCACAAAAAAUCCCAGUAGGAAGAGCCUACACAGACUGACCCAACAGCCCUCAAGCUGGUAUCUUGGCAGCUCUAACAAGAGGAGAAAGGUGCUGCUGGCCUUUGGUGGUGCUUCAGGCCGGGUUCCCAGGGGCACGCUGCCCAGCUGCAGGGAGGAUUUGAGUCUUCAUCGAGAAAAAAGGGGAGCAGACAAGGUAAGAGAUGAAACUGCUGUGCAGAGUCUGGUGUGACACAAAUGACAGAAUCGUUUUGUUAGAAAGAGACCUUUAAGCUCAUCAGGUCCACCUGCUACCCCAGCACUGCAGGGUCACCACUAAACCAUGUCCCUCGGCACCUUUUGGAUCUACACUCAGAGAGGGAAAGGGAGAAGGCUAAGAGCAGACAAAGCAAUGACUCCAGGACUGGGAAAGCCAAAGAGAAACAAGCCAGCAGAGAACCUGUUUCAGGCUCUGAUAGUUCUCCCCCAUGUCACUGGUGGCAAAAAAAAAGUAAUCUUUGGCCUUCAGCCACCCACCAUGAUCACCUCCAGCAACAUUAUCACCUCUGCUGCUGGGCUCUGUUCCUUGGGAACUACCUUCCCAGAAGAGCAGCUGCCACCAGCUCCUGAGGCAGAAGCAGCACAGAUAAGCUUACCUUCUGCUUGGCCUGUUUCCUGCAAGCAGCUGCAGCAGCUUCCCUGCAGCAUAGCACCUGCUGUUGGGUACAGAACCUGUUGGGCUUGGGCCAGCAAACCUGAAUUCCUUCAUUAAACUACAGACCAGAAUUUCAUGCUAAAAGAUCUCACUAAAGGAAGUUCCAGGGGGAAAAAUGCUUCAGCAAAGCUUUGUACAUGGUUUAAUGCAUCAUCUGAGGCUGCUCAGCAGCUCUGGAUGCUCGUUUUGAGGCUGGAAUAUGCUGAGUAUGGCAUGGGGUGGGGAGAGAGUACAGCAUUGCCCUCCCAGGUCCUCUCCUGACAAGCAAGAUGUUCUCAAAGGAAGCCUGGAAAAGCUCUAGUGCCUCCUUCCUGCUUCCAUAACUUGUGUGUGUAGCCAAGAUUUUUGGCUGUUCUGGACCAGGCUUUCUCCCACUUUCCUUCUUUCCCUGCAGCAGUGCCACUGGGAGAGCCCAAGGACCACAAUGGAAGGGAACAGCCACCCAGUGUAUCUGCUGUUGCAAAGCCAGGGCGGGAGGCUUCCACUCAGCUUCUGGCUGCUGCCUGCUGCUCCCUCUCCUUCCCUGCCAGAGGGGCUGAUUUAAGCCUCUGUAAGAAACUGCUCCAUCAUCUGAGCCUAAGAAAUCUGUAAAAAGACCUAAGCUACACUAGAAACCACAGCCCCUUUUGUCCUCCCCAAGUCAAAUGGGGGAGGGGUGAGUGUCAGGGAGUGACCAGAUGAGUAAUUAAGGCAACAGAGGUUGAUGCUUCCAGAGAAGAGAAAGCAGUGACCUGCCCGGGCUGAUCACCACAGCCACUAGAGUAGCAGUUUGGCUGCUCGCUCCUCUCAGAGCCUGCAGGGAGGCUCAGCACUUGAAUCGUAUCACUGACCAAGGUCCCGGUCCCAGGGUCCCAGGCACCUUUCUCCAGGUCACUUCCAAAUGCUAAGUAGGUGCCACAGUAAUUAACUGUCAGGGCUGCCUCAAGGGAGGAAAAGCUCUCAAGUGCCAGGCAGCCUAACCCCCUUCUGACUCGCUGCAGCUCAGGGGACAGCCUCUCCGCAGAACUGAUGCCACAAGAAUCUUCCAGGCAUGGGAGUGGCUGACAAACCUCAGCCUCCUCCAGUCAUGCCCCUUAGGGCUGGGAAGCAGGUAGGAACCACUGCAAACAAUUCUGCUACCAGAGCACCUCAAACUGUCUUUUGGCAAGGGUGAAGUGAAAGGCAAAGGUGGGCAAGACUUCAACACUAUUUCCUCCCCUCCUUGGGAAGGCAGCCGGCUCAGCGAGUCUCGACCAGAGCCCCUCUUUCUCCGGGGAGGUGGGAACACAUCAGGGAUCCGUUUGGUCUCUUUUGCACAACAACAAACAGUAAAUCUUAGUAAAAACAGAAAGGUAGGCACCAAACUCCUAACCAUCAGCCAGCCUUAGCUGAGUCCCAUCGCUGCGCUGCCCCUGCCUGGGGCCCCAGAGAAAAGUCAGCCUCACUGGAGUGCUCCAUUGCUCUGACAAGCUUCAGCCAAGAGGAACAAAGCUCCCGUUGAAGAUUCUGUCUUGUUGCCAUUCUGUGGCUGGGAAGGGAAGCCAGAACCACGCCAACGAUGACAUCUUAGGUGAGCCACCACCGCCUCUUUCAAACCCACCUGGACAGUCACGGACUGGAGCCACCCUCUCGUCUCACCCAGCCCCUGCACGUCUGUUCUACAGUCCUUUGCUGUCUGCAGGGUGACAAAGCUGUGACCAGCAGGCAGGGCCUCGCAGCAGAGGUGGUUGUGCUCCUUCUCCUGCUCCCCACCACCAAGCUGUGUCAGUCUGUAGUGCAAUUGGCUGUGCUGGGCUCCUGCUGCAGGUGGCUCUGGGCAAAGGUCUGGUGUACAGUGUAGUGCACAUCACCUCAAAGUUCCAGCCCCUGAAGUACAAUCCUUUUGGUCAUUCAUAUAUUACAACCUUCUUUUUUCUUUUGUUUUGUUCCUUUUUUUUGUUGUUUUUUGUUUGUUUGUUUGUUCCUUUUUUCUUUCUUUUUUAUUUCCCCUCUCCCCUACCCCAUUUUGUUAACAAGAAUACAGUGUGGUUGUGGUUGGUU